CCCGCGUUAGCUCAAUGGAUCAGAGCACCUGCUUACGAAGCAGGGGGUUGCACGUUCGAGUCGUGCACGUGGGGCCA
This 77-nucleotide transfer RNA is filed under the name Variovorax sp. Its description in RNAcentral is "tRNA-Arg". Lineage: Bacteria; Pseudomonadati; Pseudomonadota; Betaproteobacteria; Burkholderiales; Comamonadaceae. RNAcentral also lists the same sequence under 6 other names. The record is from RNAcentral.